GACGAACGCUGGCGGCGUGCUUAACACAUGCAAGUCGAACGAAGAGCGAUGGACGCUUGCUUCUAUCAAUCUUAGUGGCGAACGGGUGAGUAACGCGUAAUCAACCUGCCCUUCAGAGGGGGACAACAGUUGGAAACGACUGCUAAUACCGCAUACGAUCGAAACUCGGCAUCGAGGAGAGAUGAAAGGUGGCCUCUACAGGUAAGCUAGCACAGAAGGGGGGGAGUGCGGCUGGUUGGCUAGUUGGAGGGGGAAGGGCCCACGAAGGCGAUGGUCUGUAGCCGGUCUGAGAGGAUGAACGGCCACAUUGGGACUGAGACACGGCCCAGACUCCUACGGGAGGCAGCCGUGGGGAAUCUUCCGCAAUGGACGAAAGUCUGACGGAGCAACGCCGCGUGAGUGAUGACGGCCUUCGGGUUGUAAAGCUCUGUUAAUCGGGACGAAAGGCCUUCUUGCGAAUAGUGAGAAGGAUUGACGGUACCGGAAUAGAAAGCCACGGCUAACUACGUG
This 510-nucleotide ribosomal RNA is filed under the name uncultured bacterium. RNAcentral's name for it is "partial 16S ribosomal RNA". It matches the Rfam family "Bacterial small subunit ribosomal RNA", at positions 28 to 507 of the family's 1533-position model. The record is from RNAcentral.